Molecule: long non-coding RNA, 551 nt
Filed under: Amborella trichopoda
Lineage: Eukaryota; Viridiplantae; Streptophyta; Magnoliopsida; Amborellales; Amborellaceae
Description: long non-coding RNA (ATRI_LNC001688)
Source: RNAcentral
UGGCCCAUUCACUUAUGAUAGGUGUUGUACUUGGCCAAAAAGCCAAGUAUCAUUUUCUCUACUUGCCCAAAAGCUAUCAUUUUUAAUAGAAAAAAUGGAGCGGGGAGCAAAGAGAGAAGUGGUUGCAGAGAAAGAAACAGAGAGAGAGAAAUGAACGCAGAGAAAGAGAGAGGGGGGGAGGGGGGGGUGACAACGGAUCUCUCAGAAAGUAGCACUGAAGAGCAGGCACAAGCACAUGCACAGGCACAUGUAGAGGUUUUUCAAAUGGUGUUGUCUUUUGAAGCAGAUGGUGAACCUGUUUGUUAAGAAAAUCAGAUCGACGCGCUGCGUAGAACUCAGAUGGUGCUGUCUUUUUGGAAGCUAACAGAUUCUAACAGAUUGUUGGGAAAAGCCCUAAUUUUUUUCAGAAUUUAUUUUGCCUUAAUGUAUUGUUUUUUGAGCUAUGUUAAAUUUGGGGAUUUUUUAGCUAUGUUAAAUUUCAGGAUUUUUUAUAGUUAAUGUUGAAUAUAUGCUUUGAAAGUUCUCUCUAUCGUAUAGUUCUCUUUUUUCCC